CCACGCCGUAAACGAUGAGUACUAGGUGUCGGAGGUUUCAAUACCCUCGGUGCCGCAGUUAACGCAAUAAGUACUCCGCCUGGGGACUACGGUCGCAAGACUGAAACUCAAAGGAAUUGACGGGGGCCCGCACAAGCGGUGGAGCAUGUGGUUUAAUUCGACGCAACGCGAAGAACCUUACCAAGACUUGACAUCCCGCUGACCGGUUUUGUAAUGAAACCCUUCCCUCGGGACAGCGGUGACAGGUGGUGCAUGGUUGU
This 260-nucleotide ribosomal RNA is filed under the name uncultured bacterium. RNAcentral describes it as "partial 16S ribosomal RNA". It matches the Rfam family "Bacterial small subunit ribosomal RNA", at positions 795 to 1052 of the family's 1533-position model. The record is from RNAcentral.